AUACGGAGGGUGCAAGCGUUACUCGGAAUCACUGGGCGUGAAGGAUGCGUAGGCGGAUAAUCAAGUCAAAAGUGAAAUCCCACGGCUUAACCGUGGAACUGCUUUCGAAACUGGUUAUCUAGAAUAUGGAAGAGGCAGAUGGAAUUAGUGGUGUAGGGGUAAAAUCCGUAGAGAUCACUAGGAAUACCGAUUGCGAAGGCGAUCUGCUGGGACAUUAUUGACGCUGAGGCAUGAAAGCGUGGGGAGCAAACAGGAUUAGAUACCCCAGUAGUCC
RNAcentral lists this ribosomal RNA (274 nucleotides) under uncultured bacterium. Its description in RNAcentral is "partial 16S ribosomal RNA". It matches the Rfam family "Bacterial small subunit ribosomal RNA", at positions 523 to 796 of the family's 1533-position model. The record is from RNAcentral.